RNAcentral lists this long non-coding RNA (5413 nucleotides) under Homo sapiens (human). Its description in RNAcentral is "HSALNT0195370". Lineage: Eukaryota; Metazoa; Chordata; Mammalia; Primates; Hominidae. The record is from RNAcentral.
GGAAGUUACUGCCUUGCUCUCUGGACCUCCUGUCUCUUUUCUCUGAAUCUUCAUUCCCUCCUGUUCCUCUGUCUCUGACCCUGUCUCCAUGUCUGUCUCUUCCACUGCCUGGCUCCUUCCUCUUCUUCACUUGCUUCUGACAGUCAGGGUUUCUGCCUCGCCCCGUCUUUCUCUCUGUCCCUCCACGUCUUUGUUUUUCUCAUCUCCGCUUCUCUCUCCCUCCGUGUCCAGGUCUCUUCCUGUCCAUCCAUCUCUCAGCCUCAGCCUAGCUCGGUCCUCCACUCUGAUUCUCUCCCAUCCAUCUCCCUGGGCCUGACAGAGGCUCUUUGUCGAGUCUCUUCCUCUGUCUGCCCCCAUCCGUUGUUUUCUCUGUAUGUCGCUGGCUGCGCAUGUGCCACUGUUUCUAUCAUUUUCUCUCCAUCUAGCCAUUGAUCUCUGAUUCCCCUGCUCCGCUUCUCUGUCUCUCAUCCCUGUCACCACCUCCCUCUCUGUCACUUUCUUAUUCUCUCCCUGCCUCUUUGCACGCUCUUUGCACAUCAGGCCCGGCCCCAGCCCAGGGUCUCUGGGCUCCAGGAAGCCAGCCAGGGGCUGUGCGGGCUGCGCUGUAACUCAGGAACUCCGCCAGCAAUCAUUUCAUUAGAUAUCCCCCUGGGGCACCGGCCUAGAACAGAGCAACAAAUAUUUACUAAUUCCAUUAACAGAAGAGAGUUGGAAUUUUUUUUUCCCAAGCGAAUAUCCGAGGCCCCAAGUUCAUGUAGCCACCCAAAGUUACACUUUGGUUCACCAAGACGAAGACUCAUCCUUCCUCUCUCUAUGGAUCUUUCAGAUGAAGAAAUUAAGGCUCAGGAGGGAGGAAAAAAAUAAAAGAAAGAAUUGUCCAAGGUCACCAAGGCAUCUGGACUCCCAUAUGUUGAGCUACUUCUGCUUGUGGGGCAGCUGCAAUACAUGAAUUCUUCACUACGCCGGAGGAUUUCUGCUCCAUGAAGUCUCUCAGAGAUCCAGGCUGAUACAGAGUUCAUCUUAACAAGUGCUUUCGUAGUCACCACAGCAGUGGGAAAUGAACAUGGAAAUCAUUGAUCAUGGCUCUUAAAGUUUCUGUUCCAAAGUGACACAGAGACAAGGUCUUGCUUUGACACCCAGGCUGGAGUGCAGUAGUGCAAUCAGAGGUCAUUACAGCCUCCAACUCCUGGGCUUAAGUGAUCCUCCUGCCUCAUCCUCCCAAGCAGCUGGAGCUACAAGUGUGCACCAUCAUGCCUGGCCCCUUUAUUCCUAAACGUUUCUUCAUGAAGGAAGAUACAAAUUUACAUGAGCCCAUGCUCUUCACAUGGGUAAGGGGAAAACAGAGAGAACUCACAGGGCACCCACAUAUUGUGCUUUAUCAUUUGACCUAGGAACAGUCUUGAAUAGGCAGCUUGGGUUUCUACUCCCAGAAAAUACUUUGACAUACAUUAAUUUAUUCACUUAAAACUCAUUAUUUCCUGGGUUUCCAUGCAGUGUCUCUGAAACUCACUCUUCCCCCUUUAUUCUCACAAUAUUGUAAAUAUCCUUAAUAUAAUCUAUCCUGCAAUUUCUUAUUGCUGCAUGCCCUCCUUCCUUCUUGGAGUGUGAGCUCUUUGGUGACAGGGACUACAUAUGCUUUCUCAUCCUUCCAGCACCUGUAACUGUUUCUGGCAUAUGUCGAGUAAUCGAUAAAAAACUUUAAGAUCUGCUAAUGAAUCAAGUUAUCGGUGAUUGUGCCUGGUAUCUUUCAUUUAUUUAUACAUUUAUCUGUGUGUGUAUUUGUACAUCCACCCAUGAAUUUAUCAAAGCAUCAUCCAUUCAUUCACCCACCCACCCAUUUUUCUCCAUGAUCUCACCCCAUUAACAAUUUGUAGAAAAUAGUCUGACAAAUUCACCCAAAAAGGCAGUAAAGGAAAAGGAUUUUCCAUCCAUUAUCCAUUCUUUUUUUCUGCCUUAAUUUUCCUUUCUACCAUCUCUCCUGCAUAUCUCUUCCUCUGUCUCUGGAGAGUUACAGGAGUGAAAACGAGAUGGGUCCUGAGAGUUGGUAUGGGGAGUAAAUUGCUUGGUGACAGCUUGGUUCCAGGGACGGAUGAAAACCUUAGCCUUAAGCAAAGUUCAGGGAAGCCCAAGGAGAGAGCUGAUGGACAGUCUGACUUGUUGAGGGUGAAAUCAAUUAAAGUACAUCAAAUCCAGAAUUCAUGCUUUCUCAGAGUGACAAAUCUAUGCUGGAAACUGAGAAAGACGAAAGGAGAAAAUUGCCUUUGACCUUUUGAAGACCGGCUGUUCCUUCUGUCAGGGGAGCCAGGCCUGGAGUGAGAUGCGUUCAUGAUGAAUUAUAACAGCCAGCCACCUUAAAAAAGAACGGGGUGAAAAGGUUACCAAAGAGAACCAAAAUGUGAGGAAUUCAACCAAACAUCAAGAUAAAUCAACUCAGGGCCAGGAGUAUUUGUGCCAUGCCUGCUCAGAGCCGCUAUGGACAAGCUCAGUUUGUUAGUUCAGCUCUUUGAAGCAUGAUAUGUAGACACACUUGCAUGUUCACACACAUUGUUUGCUAAACUGUGGGAAGGUAAUCAGAAGAGAAGAGCCACGAGGUUGUCAAUCUAGCAUCAGAAAUUUGGUGGCAUAGGAUUUCUCUACAAUGCUGUCCACUAAAACUUUUUGUAAUGAUGAAGAUAUCCUAUAGCCAAGCUGACCAAUACAAUAGACAUUAGUCAUAUGUGACUGUUGAGCACUUGAAUAUGGGUAGUGAAAUUGAAGAACUGAAUUUUUAUUUUUAGAUUUUAAUUAUUUUAAAUUUAAGUAGCUGCAGAUGGCUAAAAUUGAAUGGUGAACUUCCAGGACAAAGGAUGUUUUUGCCUUCAACAAUAUCGGAAAAGCAGGGGUGAGUGGAAUGUCAGAUUGCAAUGCAAUUGCUUGUGUUUCUGCGGAGUUCAUGGAAGAAACUCAUUAUACUCAUUUGUAAUGCUUGAUGGUAAAUUUGAUUUUCUCUUUAGAAUGUAGAGAUUAAAUCUUGGUUUAAAACUGCCUCUCUGUGAGCAGUUUCUCCAUCAGUGAAACGGGUGUAAUUUCAACUCGUUGAGAGUGCUCAGUUAUGCAAUAUAUGCAAUGUUUCUUAUCUGUGUCUGAAAACAGUUAAUAAAAGGUUGCUGUGCUUGACGCUAUUACUAUUAUUAGUAUUGUGAUUUAAAAACAAAGGAGGUUGUUGGUGAGAAAACAAGUUGUUCCACCUGGAGAUUUAUGCUGAAAUAACCACUUUACAUCACAACCCACGGAGUCCUUGAUGUUAGCUUGGUUUGUCAAUCCCACCACCAGAUACCAUUUAGAAAAUUGUCAUCUGUUCCUGGAUAACUGGUGUUUUCGUUUCCUAGAGAUCAAACUGAAGAUUGAAGAACAGAAAUCAUUUGUUGACAAUUGUCCUAGUUUCUUACUGGUUCCUCACUGAGGGGAAUUUUCCAAAUAACUAUGAUUUGCAUUCUUCAGCAUCCAGAUUAAUAUUACCUUUGCCAAAUUUGAGUCAUUUUGCCUGAAAAGCAUUCUUACCAAGUUUUACCAAGUUUUAAUAUUUCCUGUCUUUAGAAAAAAAAUAUACAACAAGACUUAACCUUUUAAAAUUUUUUUCUGAAACACACACACACACAUCCAUAUGCACACAAGCACACACACACACACACUUACCCAGAGGCAUAAAAUUUACAUAACAUAAAAUUAACUUUUGGUUGCUUCCACCUUUUGGUUAAUGUGGAUAGUGCUGUUAUGAUACAAUAAGCUGUUCAAUAAUUCGUUUCAGUACCUGUUUUCAAUUCUUUUCGGUAUAUACCUAUGAGUAGAAUUGCUGGAUUGUAUGUUAAUUCUAUGUUUAACAUUUUGAGGAAUUGCAAAACUGUUUUCCAUAAUGGCUGCAUCAUUUUACACUCCUACCAGCAAUGUAAUGCUCACCAACACUUGUUAUUCUCCUUUUAAAAAAAUUAUAACUAUCCUAGUGGGGGUGAAGUGGUAUCUCAUUGUGUUUUUUUAUUUGCAUUUCCCUAACAAGUAAUGAUAUUGAGCAUCUUUUCAUGUGCUUAUUGGCUGUUUGUAUAUCUUAUUCAGAGAAAUGUCUAUUCAAGUUAUUUACUUAUUUUAUUGCCUAAUUGCUCUGGCUAGAAUUUCUCAUGCAACAUUAAAUGGCAGUGAUGAAAGUGGACACCCUUGCCUUAUUCCUGAUUUUAGGAAGAAAGCUUUCAGUCUUUCAUAAUUCUCUGUGAUUCUUACUGUGGGGUUUUCAUAAGCGUUCUUUCUCAAUUUAAGGAAAUUCCCUUCCAUUCCUAAUUUUAUGAGUAUUUUAAAAAAUUAUCAAAGGUAUUGGAUUUUGUCAAAUGCUUUUUCUGGGUUGUAUGAGAUUACAUAUUUUUUCUUUGUUCUAUCAAAAUGUUGCAUUACAUUGGUUUUCUUUUUCUUUUCUUUUUUUUUUUUUUUGAGACGGAGUCUUGCUCUUGGACUCCUUGAACCACCCUUGGACUCCUGGGGUAAAUACCACUUGGUCAUGGUGCAUAAACCUUUUAAUAAGCUGUUGAAUUUUGUCUGCUGGUAUUUUGUUAUGGAUUUUUGCAUCUGCAUUAAUUGGUGUGUAAUGGCAUCUUUGUCUAGUUUUGAUAUCAGGGCAAUAUUACAUUCAUAGAAUAAGUCAGCAUGCAUUUCCUUCUCUUCUCUUUUUUUUCUUGGAAAAGAUUGAAAAAACUUGAUGUUAUUUCUUCUUUAAACAUUUGGUAGAAUUCACAGGUGGAGACAUAAUCUUUUUUUUUUUAAUUCAGUCUCUUUACUUGUUGUGUUAUAGGUUUGUGCAGAUUUUCGUUUUCCUCUUGAGUCAGUUUUAGUAAUUUGUGUGUUUCUAGGGAUUAUUAUACUUCAUGUAGGUUAUAUAAUUUGUUGGCAUACUGUUUGUUGGCAUGUUGUUCAUAGUAUUCUCUAAAAAGCCUUUUUAUUUCUGUAAGGUGGAUAGUAAUGUCUCCACUUUUAUUUCUGAUUUUAGUUAUUUGCAUCUUUUAUUAUUUUCUUUUCUGUUUUUUUUUUUGUUGUUGUUUUGUUUUUGUCAGUCCAGCUAAAGGCUUGUCAAUAUUCUCAACCUUUCCAAAGAACCAAUUUUUGGUUUUGUUAAUUCUCUUCAUUGUUUUCCUGGUCUCUUUUGUUUAUCUCUUCUUUUGUUUUCUUCCUGUCAUUAUCUCUCUUCUUCAUCUAAUUUUUAGUAAAGUUUGUUCUUAUUUUUCUAGUUCCUUAAGAUGUAAAGUUUGGUUAUUAAUUAGAGGAUUUUUCUUUUUCCCCUCCCUGAGAUGGAUUCUCACUCUGUUACCCAGGCUGGAGUGCAGUGGUGUGAUCUCUGCUCACGGCAACCCCCGCCGCCUGGGUUCAAGCGAUUCUCCUGCCUCAGCCUCCCGAG